Molecule: long non-coding RNA, 1754 nt
Organism: Homo sapiens (human)
Lineage: Eukaryota; Metazoa; Chordata; Mammalia; Primates; Hominidae
Gene: CEROX1
Product: cytoplasmic endogenous regulator of oxidative phosphorylation 1
Source: Ensembl
CCCGGGAAAGGAAGCGGGGCAGGGAGGCCGGGUGGGAGCAGGGGGGUCUCCGGCGCUUCCUCUCCUCUGCGGGCGCCGCGCGGCUCCUGAGAGUCCGCCCCCCGUCCUGACGCUCAGCUAGGAAGCGGGUCCUCGGGCCCCUCCCCCGACACACACACACACACACACACACACACACACACACACACACACUCUCUCUCUCUCUCUCUCUCUCUCUCUCUCUCUCUCUCUCUCUCACACACACACACACACACACAGCCCGUCUCGCGCCUGAGGUCUCGCCCGCAGGCCGGUGGCGCGGGGUCAGCUGCUGCCUGCGGUCCAGGACAGGGUCGGUUCCGCCGCGCAGCGCCCAGGCCCAGCUCGUCCAGAGUCUGCGGACAGCGCACGUCCAGACAUCGCCCACUCGGGCUCACAGUGCCAUCCGGGUGAGGACCUCCGUGGAGAGCUCUCUUUGCCAAAGAAAAGCAGUUGCAUUAGGUCUGCGAGCAGGCAGGGUGGCCUCUUCCUGGCUCCCCAUCCACCAAGGAAGCUUCAAGUCCCUGGGACACAGGCACUUUCCCACACAGGAUGGAGCCGGGCCACCCUCACAGCUCCUGCCCUGCAGACGCUGGCCUUGUGGAGGGAGGCAGGCAGCAGGAGCAGUGCUUUCUGGGCCUCUGUAGCCAGAGCUGGCCCUGCUGCAGCUUACGUCUGCCUGCAGCCCAGACGUCCUCCUGGUCCUCCUGAUGCCCCCGACCUCCACGGAGGACGAGCAUUUCCAGCCCAGCCCUCCCCAUCUUCACCUCGCACUCCCCUGACACACUGGGAGCCUCCUGAUCCGUGAACCCGCGCUGGCGGGAGUAGCUACUGACCGCUGGGGACCCCUGCCCAGGCUGUUCGCAUGUGGAAAGGAUUCAGGGAGCAGGCGAUGCCCAAAGCGUGGAGACCAGCACUGCUCUCUCCCCAGUGACAGGCAGGAGCCCUGGGGCCCCAAGCAGCCAGGGAGGUGAGCACCAAGGACCUCCCAGAGAGCGUCACCUUCCGUCGAGGGAGGCCCAGCCUGGGGGCGGUGUCUGAGACUUGGAAUCAACGCUUCCGUUGGUGGCAGUAAAUCCUGUCCCUAACCCUGCAGUACAGCUGUGCCGUGUACAGGAGGGUGCUGUCUGACGCCAGACACCUGGACUACAGAUCGCAGCCUGAUUCCUGGUCAUUGCUCCACUGAACCCCAGACCCCAGCCUCGUUCUGGGCCCUCAUCCCCUAGAUCCAGGGACCCCAGCCCCAUUUCAGCCCUUGGGCCCUUGUAGGAUGCGAGGCCCUGGGCCCCAGCCCCCAGCCCAUCCGUGGCCCAGGCACUGGGGGGCUGAGGUCCUCUGAGAAGGGACACAGGGCCUGGGGGGCUCUCUCAGCCCAUCAGCAGGAGAGGACUGACUCCAGAAAAAUCAGCGUUUGUACCCACUCAGGCUGCCAAGACCUGUGUCCGUCCUUCCAAGCUCAACCUUCAGAGUUCAUGAGGCCCCUUGCCCAGAAUGUCCACAGAGUUCAUGAGGCCCCUUGCCCGGAAUGUCCACAUUUGAAACCUCCCAACACCGAGCCCCAUUUCAAGUAUAACCAGGAGGGAAAAUGGUGCUUGAAAUAAGCAUGCCACAAAGGAAAACCUGCUUUCUCGAAAUGGGCCCUGGCCGCCCAGGCCCUGACCUCCCCGGCCAGGAUGGAACGUUCCAGAGACCCAUUAGUGCCAAAGGCAAAUGAAAACACACCCUGUGAAAAUGUC